Non-coding RNA from Pelobates cultripes (western spadefoot toad), 218 nucleotides. The record is from the annotation of a GenBank genome assembly. NCBI's taxonomy places the organism in Eukaryota, Metazoa, Chordata, Amphibia, Anura, Pelobatidae.
GGGGCCAGCCCCGAGUCCGUCCACAAGGAUGAAGUGUGUGUGUGUGUGUAUAGUGGAUGUAGAAUAUGUGUCAUGGAUGCAGUGUGUAUGGUGGAUGUAGAAUGUGUGCAGUGGAUGCGGUAUGUGUGUCAUGGAUGCAGUGUGUAUAGUGGAUGCAGAUUGUACGUUGUGUGUAAUGUAUGUAAUGUUUGUAUGCAUGCAUUAGAUGCAGAGUGUGU